RNAcentral lists this ribosomal RNA (600 nucleotides) under uncultured bacterium. RNAcentral's name for it is "bacterial SSU rRNA". It matches the Rfam family "Bacterial small subunit ribosomal RNA", at positions 94 to 677 of the family's 1533-position model. The record is from RNAcentral.
AGCGGGCACGGGUGAGUAGCUCAUAACUACCUAUACUGAGGAAGUCUCGGGAAACUGAUAAUAAUACCUCAUGGUAUUGUGAUUCCUGCAUGGGAUCACAUUCAAAAGAUUUAUNUGGUAUGGGAUGGGUGUGCGUCUUGAUUUAGCUAGUUGGUAAGGUAACGGUUACAAAGCGAUGAUCAAGUAGGGGCGUGAGAGCGUGAACCCCCAACGGUUACUGAGACAACGGAACCCGAAUCCUACGGGGAGGCAGCCGUAAGGAAUCAUUGGUCAACUGGCACGGAAGUCUGAACCAAGCAUCCCGCGUGCAGGAAGAAAGGGGGUCUGCUUGUAACACUGCUUCUUGAUUGGGACGACACAGAGUAUCAUGCGUCAUCAGUGUUGACGGACCAUUAAGAAUCAAGCACGGUUAAAUCCCGUGCCAAGCAAGCCCGAGGUAAUCACGNGAGUGGUGCCGAGCGUUAUCCGGAAUUAACUGGGUCUACAAGGGUGGUCAGCGGCUGACUNUCAACAGUACCACUGGGGUNGCAAGGGCCGGCACCUCUACAAUCAUGGGGAAUCGGCCCUCGGAACUGGCUNUGACUUGGNAUCCAGGACGGA